CUAUGUCGGCGACCGGCGCACCGGGUGCGUAACGCGUAUGCAACCUACCCAUUACAGGGGGAUAACACUGAGAAAUCGGUACUAAUACCCCAUAACAUCCAGGGAGGCAUCUUCUUGGGUUGAAAACUCCGGUGGUAAUGGAUGGGCAUGCGUUGUAUUAGUUAGUUGGUGGGGUAACGGCUCACCAAGACAACGAUACAUAGGGGGACUGAGAGGUUAACCCCCCACAUUGGUACUGAGACACGGACCAAACUCCUACGGGAGGCAGCAG
This 271-nucleotide ribosomal RNA is filed under the name uncultured bacterium. Its description in RNAcentral is "partial 16S ribosomal RNA". It matches the Rfam family "Bacterial small subunit ribosomal RNA", at positions 83 to 354 of the family's 1533-position model. The record is from RNAcentral.